GAUGAACGCUGGCGGCGUGCCUAAUACAUGCAAGUAGAACGCUGAAGGAGGAGCUUGCUCUUCUGGAUGAGUUGCGAACGGGUGAGUAACGCGUAGGUGACCUGCCUGGUAGCGGGGGAUAACUAUUGGAAACGAUAGCUAAUACCGCAUGACAACAGUUAUUGCAUGAUAACUGUUUAAAAGGGGCAACUGCUCCACUACCAGAUGGACCUGCGUUGUAUUAGCUAGUUGGUGAGGUAACGGCUCACCAAGGCGACGAUACAUAGCCGACCUGAGAGGGUGAUCGGCCACACUGGGACUGAGACACGGCCCAGACUCCUACGGGAGGCAGCAGUAGGGAAUCUUCGGCAAUGGGCGGAAGUCUGACCGAGCAACGCCGCGUGAGUGAAGAAGGUUUUCGGAUCGUAAAGCUCUGUUGUAAGAGAAGAACGAGUGUGAGAGUGGAAAGUUCACACUGUGACGGUAUCUUACCAGAAAGGGACGGCUAACUACGUG
This 495-nucleotide ribosomal RNA is filed under the name uncultured bacterium. Its description in RNAcentral is "partial 16S ribosomal RNA". It matches the Rfam family "Bacterial small subunit ribosomal RNA", at positions 28 to 507 of the family's 1533-position model. The record is from RNAcentral.